This 71-nucleotide transfer RNA is filed under the name Capra hircus (goat). It matches the Rfam family "tRNA". From Rfam's summary of the family: Transfer RNA (tRNA) molecules are approximately 80 nucleotides in length. Their secondary structure includes four short double-helical elements and three loops (D, anti-codon, and T loops). Further hydrogen bonds mediate the characteristic L-shaped molecular structure. tRNAs have two regions of fundamental functional importance: the anti-codon, which is responsible for specific mRNA codon recognition, and the 3' end, to which the tRNAs corresponding amino acid is attached (by aminoacyl-tRNA synthetases). tRNAs cope with the degeneracy of the genetic code in two manners: having more than one tRNA (with a specific anti-codon) for a particular amino acid; and 'wobble' base-pairing, i.e. permitting non-standard base-pairing at the 3rd anti-codon position. RNAcentral also lists the same sequence under 1 other name. Lineage: Eukaryota; Metazoa; Chordata; Mammalia; Artiodactyla; Bovidae. The record is from Rfam by way of RNAcentral.
UCCCCAGUGGCUCAGAGGUAAAGAAUCUGCCUGCAAUGCAGAAGACCCAGGUUUGAUCCCUGGGUAGGGAA